Long non-coding RNA from Hipposideros armiger (great roundleaf bat), 1423 nucleotides. RefSeq lists it as uncharacterized. NCBI's taxonomy places the organism in Eukaryota, Metazoa, Chordata, Mammalia, Chiroptera, Hipposideridae. The transcript has 3 exons. The record is from RefSeq and is a predicted model, not a curated record.
UCCAGUUGCUCACACUGAUUUUCACAGCCAUGACUUGAAUCUGGAAAAGGCAAUUUGGAGCCAGGGAGGAGGGGAGGUGGUGCCGUGACAAGCCCUUGGAAGCAUUAUUUGAGGACAGCCCCCUGCUGAGGUGGUCUAUUAGAGAAAGGAUUACCAAAAGUCAUUUAGAGAAUCCAGAAUACAAUUUGAGUUGUUGAUAUUACAAGGAAGCAUCCGGUGCAAAACUGAUGGAAUUUGAAAUUCUCAGCAAUGGAGUUCAUCCUUUAAGUCUCCAGAAGUUUCUGUUAUAUCACGACAACACCUCUGAGGGUUAAUAUAUUGGUAUAGGCUGGUCUAUUAAAGAGAAUAAAAUCUCAAGGGAGUAAGAAUAGCCUUAGAAUAAAAGGAGGUCAUGAAUGACAAGAUAAUUGUUAUUUUGACAAGUUUUUUGACCUAUGUGCUAGCAGUAUGAUUUUUAAGUUUUCAAUACAUGCAUAAAUAAAAACAUGAAUUUAUAUGAAAGGACCAUAGACUGAACUAUCCAUGAUAAUGAUAAAUAACCUCUGAAGAACAGAAGGCACAAGGGAAAUUUUCCUAAUCUAGCAAUAUGGAAAUCAUAUAAAUGUAUGCUGCAGGGGCGGGCAUGCUAACAAGCAAAAUAAUCGAAGGACUUCUGAAUUUUUUAAGUUAGAGUCAUGGGAAAUGGCUCUUUUUAUCUUGAGGUGUGAAUAUAAGAGAAGAGACAGAGCCUGGCAUCUGCUGGAGGCAAUGAUUCUAGUUUUAUUAAGAAAGUUUAUUUGAGAGAAUGAAACAAGCAGGGCAAAAGAAGCAAAUAGAAAUGAAGGGAGCAGAGAGAGAGAGAGAGAGAGAGAGAGAGAGAGAGAGAGAGAGGGAGCGAGCAUGAAUGAGAAUGCAGUGGAUCUCAAUGUCUUGGUUUUGGUUGCCCCAAGGCCUAUAGUUUGAUUAAUAAGCCAAUAGUCUACGUAUUGACCCAGCUAAUUUUAGUUGAGUUUCUGUCUUUUGCAACUAAUAGAAUCCUGAUUAAUAUAAUAGCUUAUAAAUGAGCAACUAUGGGGUUAUAUAUGUUUGAUUGAACUAAUAAAAUGGAAAGUGAAAAAUUAAAUAUCUCUUGAAAUAAUUGCAGAAAAAUUAUUUAGUCUUGUUCUUACUAUCUUGUUUUCUAAUUGUUUUGCUUAUUAUUGCAUAGUAUGAAAUUAUAUAUGCAAAAUGCAUUAUAUAUAAUAUGUAUAUAUUAAUUAUACUAAACCUAUUUACAAAGAAUUCCUUAAACAUUAAUGUGUUCUGUAAAAGCAGCAAGAUGUUUCAUUAUAUUUUAAAUGAGUGAAGAAAAGAAAUACAAAACCUUGAUUUACCAGGAUCAUGAUGGAAGGCCUGUAUCUUUAAAUAUAAAUGUGUACUCUCUAUCCUACAACAAGCCAUUUUA